RNAcentral lists this long non-coding RNA (1903 nucleotides) under Nicotiana tabacum (common tobacco). Its description in RNAcentral is "long non-coding RNA (NTAB_LNC000478)". Lineage: Eukaryota; Viridiplantae; Streptophyta; Magnoliopsida; Solanales; Solanaceae. The record is from RNAcentral.
AUCUUGCAUUUCUUCCAGAGAAUGUUUCUUGCUGUGAACCCAUGUGCUCCUGGUCACGCAGCAAUAACUCUUACCGCUUCGCCAAGGCUCGGCCUCAGUGAAGAACAAAAACUAAAUUUCCAUCAAUUCAUAGCUCGAUCCCCAUAGUUAAGCCAUAACUCGAAAGAAAUGCAAUGUUUUAUCUAAUUCAGUUGAAUGUAUCAAGUUAUGUGGUAAUGACCUGCUUAUCAAUGAUUAUAUCAUUUAAGCAAUAUAGAGAUUGCUUAUUACCAAUCACACCUAUCUGAAGUUUUUGCCAAGUUGGUACCCUAUAAUCCUAACAACAAGUUCUUUUCAUUAGCCAGACCAAUUCCAUUCCACGUCUAGAAAAAAUUGAAACCUUAUAUCAGAUUGUGAGAAGAAAAACUUUACCUGAGAGAUAUACCAUUCAGUUGUAUUAUAGAUAUUGUAAUCAGCACAAAACAUGGGCAACAGGGUUAUCUAUCUGCACAUGUAAAUUUUGGAACGGUAGAUAAAAACAUUAACAAUAAAAAACACCAGAAUUUAGACAGUUUGACAUCAAGUGUAUUCUUUGAAACUCAUAGGAAAUAACAUAAUGUAUCUAAAAGCAAUAUUUGAGGCACCUCAAACAAAGCAAAAUCUAGGAAAGCGAUAGUGUAUCUACCAAGGUCGAAUCCUCUACUGAUGCAGUGCCGCUUUUUAAACUAUGGUUGUAUUGUCAGUGAAAAUCUGAUGUAGUUUCCACGUCUGUCAUUCUACCUCCAAUCCUGCUUCCUUCAGCAGUCAUGGCUUAAAGAUCCACAAUAUCAACAAGAUUGUGCAAAAAAAACAUACAAUUAGUCACCAAAUAUACUUUAAAACAUGAACAUUUAGAUGAAAGAAUUAACAGGUAAAGAUAAAUAUGUUAAUACAAAAUAGUAAGCAAUGCUUAAAAUUUUGUUGGAAAAGUAAGUUACAACUAAUACCAACAAGACUUACUGGUAAAAAUGAGUAAGAUUGAACAAAGAACAUAAUAAAUUACAAAAAGUUUUCUUAUUAAAUACCAAAAGAGUUCGUAAAAGUGAACUUAUGAAGGUACUAAUUUCGGUCCAUAGAGAAUAAGCAACCUAACAUUUAAAUGCAAAGUUAUAAAGCAUGUUAUUUUGGGUUGAAAUAAAAUGAUAGCGCAACUUUCUGUAGCAACUGACAGUACUUUGUAGUACUAACAUAGGGAAGCAUUUCAGUCUGCAGGACUACCUGACUCAAUGAACAUGCAGAACAACACAAAGAGAAGAAAAGGAACUUUUCUCCACCUGAAAGUCCAUUAACCUGCAUCUGCAUAUGUAACACAACUAUCACACUGGAAACAUAUAUCUAUCUAAUGGAAUAUAUCAUUAAGAGGGGAAUAGAAGUAGUACGUAGGUCCAGUGUAGUCCUGAACCCAUCUAGAAAUGGAAAGAAAGAUCAUUAAUAACAAGAUGAGAAAAGAAAUCUAGUUACAAGCUAAUUCUGCACGAUGAUUGUAUUAGUGCUGUAUAUUGUGUUAGAAACAAUAUUUGCUUGAACAAGCUAAUUCUUAAGAUCGCCCUGUAAUGUAAGGGGAACACGAAUCGUCUAAAAAUAAGUUACUUACAGAAAGAACAUCACAGAACAUGUACGGCUAAAAUAUGAUUUUCUCUGUUUUCCUCUUGAAGAUCACCGCUCUUCUGAUAGCAAUAGGAGAACUGGGAGUUGAAAUUGAAGAACUGUAGUAUACGUUGCAGCUGAAAAUGACUAUGAAAACCUUAACAAAUACUAACUCACCAUCAAGAACAGUAAAGCUUCAAAUUUUAUGGAUUGCAUCAGUGAGCCUGUCAUUCCGUCUAUAUCAAGAACAAGUAUAUGCUAGCUGACAAUGGCAAUCCCAAUUUAUAGUUAUUUGUAG